Molecule: long non-coding RNA, 1518 nt
Organism: Mytilus californianus (California mussel)
Lineage: Eukaryota; Metazoa; Mollusca; Bivalvia; Mytilida; Mytilidae
Exons: 2
Source: RefSeq, a predicted model, not a curated record
UUCGCAGUUAUAUAAAGUAGCAAAUUAUCGUUCCUGAAUAGGUGGCGCCGUUGUAGCCGAUCCUGUACUUCAACUUCCGGUUUCUGCACUGUGCAACUAUUACAGUUGCAUUUUUAAUUAACGAUGCCAAGUACUUGUUGUUGUGUACCUGGAUGUCAUUUAAGAGGAGGACAUGCAUUUCCAAAUGACUUAAAAAGAAGGAAAAGUUGGAUCAACGCCAUGGCCCAUACGCAGAUUGGACGAGAACAUGAUGAAAUCGUGGAGUCCAUCUCAAUCAGCUGUUGUUUGCAAGGCACAUUUUACUGAAAAAGACUACGUGCAGGAAACUAUUCAUGGGCACAAACCCACCAUACAGAGACUUUAAGUCUACUGCCAAUCCCAGCCUAUUUUCCUGGACCAAGCAAGAGACUGAAUCGUCCGCAAAAAGAAAAAUCAGGGCAGUUUCCUGUGAAAACAAAAGAACUAAACUUGAUGAAUAUUGUAGUAGAAAUCUAGAGGAAAGUUUUGAUUGUAAAGUUGGUUUUCCUGAAGAAGUAAUUCAUACUGCAGACAGGAUUUAUGACUGUCCACCACCAACUGCCGAGCUAAUGUUGAGCUUCACAGAUGGAAUUACGCAAACACCAUCAAUGCCUAUAUUUUCAGCAGAGAAUUUUGAAAUGAAGACACGUGACACAGCCAUGCAUUUUUAUACCGGUUUAGAGUUGUAUACUAAAUUUUUAUUUGUUUUGACCACACUUGGUCCAACAGCACAUUGUUUGAGAUACAUAUAUUUUCAAAUUGAUAGGGUGUCAUUUGAAAAUCAGUUUUUUUAUGACUUUGAUGAAAUUGAUGCAUUAUACAACCAACUUUGAACUGUCUAGAUUCUAGAUUGAAACUAGUGUUAAGAAUAUUGUGUAAACAUGGAUUGUUUUUAUGUCUAAACAGUGGCGUGAGGCUAACACUUGGCCAUUUAGUGGUUUAGUCAGGUAUUUUUCGCCAUCCAACUUAGAAUUAAAGUUUCCUACAACUUGGAUUAUUAUUGACAGCACAGAAUAUCCCGUGAUAAAACCUAAAGCUCCUAGAGCUCAGGCAACCUUUUCAUCAUAUAAAAACAGAAACACUGAAAAUACUUGUAUGUUCGACACCUGGUGGUUUAGUCAACUAUGUCUCUAAUGCAUAUGUUGGUUGUACCAGUGACUGUGAAAUAGUUGAAAGAUGUAGAAUAGUUCAAUUAUGUGAUCCAGGUGACAGUGUGAUGGCAGACAAAGGUUUAAAUGUGCAAGAUUUGUUUGCUCACUUUUUUCAAAAAAAGAAACAGAAUUAGUUCCAAAACUCUUAUACGGGAUAGAAAAGUCUCCAAUUAACACGUGCACAUAGAGCUAAUUAUUGGACUUGGCAAAACAUACAAAAUUCUAAUAAAUCCUAUGAAUGGAACUGAAACAAAACUUUCAUCUGAAAUAACAUUUAGUUGUUUUAUGUUGUGUAAUUUUAGAACUUGUAUUGUGCCAAAGGAUGCAUAAAUAAAAGUGACGCAAUGAA